Long non-coding RNA from Panthera uncia (snow leopard), 606 nucleotides. RefSeq lists it as uncharacterized. NCBI's taxonomy places the organism in Eukaryota, Metazoa, Chordata, Mammalia, Carnivora, Felidae. The record is from RefSeq and is a predicted model, not a curated record. The transcript is spliced from 4 exons.
CUGGGCACACCCACUUCUGAUGUUGUUGCUUGAGGCACAGAAAACAGUUCCCCCUGGAUUCUGGGUGUCUCACAGCCAAGUAGAAGACUCUCAAGCCUGAGGUAAACUGGACAUAGAAAUCACAUAUGUGAGGUACAUUUUAUGAAGAAAACUGAAAAUAAGCUCAUCUAUCAGCCAUUCAAAUCUGGAAGCCUAACUGUCAUAUAUUCAAGAAUGAAAGGCAACUCCUUCUAUUUUUGAAAGCCACAAAUGAAUAAACUCGCUCUCUACAAAGAGUGGAGGGACCUGGAUGAUGAAGUAGGUGGCUCCUGAACUCCCCUGCUCCCACAAAUGCACCAAAUUUACACCGACACAUACAGCAACCCCCUCUGAGAGAAAUCCAGAAACCAGAUUCCACACAAAAAUGAAAUCAAAACCACAAUGAGAUAUCAUCUAAUACCAGUCAAAAUGGCUGGCAUCAAAAAGACAAGAAGUAACAAGUGUUGAGGAAGAUGGAGAGAAAAGGGAAUCUUUGUGCGUUGUUGGUGGGAAAGUAAAUUGGCACAACCUUUGUAGAAAAUAAUAUGAAGUUUCUUCAAAAAAUUAAAAGUAAAAAUGCCAUAUGAU